Non-coding RNA from Paramuricea clavata, 1090 nucleotides. The record is from the annotation of a GenBank genome assembly. Lineage: Eukaryota; Metazoa; Cnidaria; Anthozoa; Malacalcyonacea; Plexauridae.
GCUUAAUUCAGUCAAGGAUAAAACUGAUUUCAUCUUUAUAUGGCGAGCUGUUAUCAAAAUGCUACUGGGAUUGAGUUAUUGGAUGAUUAUUGUUUUGUAAUUCAUAAAUCAGGCAUCUCCAGAUGAACUUUCCGGUAGCAGAAUAUAUUGAAUUUUUUUACAUGACAUGAUUGAACAUACUGAAUAAAAUUUCUAUUAUGCUGUACUAUAGGUUACCUUGAGCUCAUGGAAACAUUACAGAUUGUACAACACUAACAUCGAAUAAACAUGGUGAUGAGUGUGGAGAUGUGGUUAUAACAACCAUAUAGUGGUUAACCAAUCAGAAACAAAUUUAAAGAGAGGAAUAAAUAUAGAAGAAACAAUACAGAUUGCUGAUGAAACAAAGAUGGAAGAAUGUAUUGCCUUAUAAUAACAAUUCACAUUACAUAAGAGCACAAGUAUUGUUUAUGAGUUGGAAUAAUUUGAUUGAGUUGAGAAUAGUUUGAUUGACUUGGGAAUGUUAUCCAGUGCUGGUCGAGAGUCAGAAAAUUAUCUCCUUAAUAACCACCUAUAAAAUGUUUUCUAGUUCUAUUUCCUGUAGCUGCUUUAUAUAUUUCAAUAUCUUUUUGUAUGGAUAUAUGAUAACUGAUUUCAAGCACCAUGUUUCAUGCCAUGUGAACAAAAAUGUAGUAUAGCAGUUUUAACAUUCUGGCUAAAAUAGUUAUCUGGCCAACAUUGAGAUAUAAAUACUGAUAGAUAACAUUACCAUCAUGUAACAUAGUCAGGGGAAAAUUGUCUAAUCCUUACAUCUGCUUUGUUUUGGGAGUUUCAUUAGAUGUUUAACAUUAAUGAAUGAUAUUACAUGUAUUGCAUUUUAUUAUAUUAUAUUGUAGUAAAGUAUGAACAUCUGAUCAUUAGUGUGAUAUAAAGCAAUAUGCUAUAUAUUGAAUUUUUUACAACAACUAGGUAUAACAGUAAUAUAACACUUUUGUCUGGGUGGCUAGUUGAUGCCGUGCAACAGAUACUGCCAAGAUGUGGUUCACACCAGCAACUUUCUACAAGAUUUGUAUUGUAACUAUUGUUCACACUAGCAACUUUCUUCAGGACUGUG